This 430-nucleotide long non-coding RNA is filed under the name Mytilus galloprovincialis (Mediterranean mussel). The record is from RNAcentral. Lineage: Eukaryota; Metazoa; Mollusca; Bivalvia; Mytilida; Mytilidae.
GGACAAACUUUCCUACCGGACCAAAUUUACUGUUACAAAUACACCUUCACCAGGACCAUAGUAUUUCAUAUGCUAGAACUAUAUAUGUACAGUCCCAAGCAAUCAUGUCUGGAGUAUAUGGUAUUAUUGUUUAUAUAGUUUAUACAGGGUGUUUUUGUAGCUUAUUUCACAUAUUUUUUUCAUUUUUUAUUUUUACAUACCGGUGAUGUAUUACCAACACAAUGUGCCAUAUAAUAUAUUUUCUUCAAUGUGCUUAUAUUAAUAUGUCUUUUGUUUUGCAAAAACAAAAUAUGGUGCACCAGCAUACAUAAAAGGGUUUUUGCCUUUGAACUUCUCUAAUGUUGUAUAGUUUCAAGUUGUGCAAUUUAUUGAAUUCCUUCUGACAGGUGAUAAAUUAGAUAUCUUAGAACUAAAACAAAGUUGAUAGUCC